Molecule: ribosomal RNA, 450 nt
Filed under: uncultured bacterium
Lineage: Bacteria
Description: partial 16S ribosomal RNA
Rfam family: Bacterial small subunit ribosomal RNA
Source: RNAcentral
GUGGGGAAUCUUCCGCAAUGGACGAAAGUCUGACGGAGCAACGCCGCGUGAGUGAAGAAGGUUUUCGGAUCGUAAAGCUCUUUCGUUAGGGACGAACGUGCUCUUUGUGAAUAAUGAGGAGUAAUGACGGUACCUAAAUAAGAAGCCACGGCUAACUACGUGCCAGCAGCCGCGGUAAUACGUAGGUGGCAAGCGGUGUCCGGAAUUAUUGGGCGUAAAGCGCGCGCAGGCGGGAUAUCAAGUCUGUCUUAAAAGUGCGAGGCUCAACCUCGUGAGGGGACAGAAACUGGUAUUCUUGAGUGUCGGAGAGGAAAGUGGAAUUCCAAGUGUAGCGGUGAAAUGCGUAGAGAUUUGGAAGAACACCAGUGGCGAAGGCGACUUUCUGGACGAUGUCUGACGCUGAGGCGCGAAAGCUAGGGGAGCGAACGGGAUUAGAAACCCGUGUAGUCC